GAUCCAGACUCCUACGGGAGGCAGCAGUGAGGAAUAUUGGUCAAUGGGCUAAGGCCUGAACCAGCCAAGUCGCGUGAGGGAAGACGGUCCUAUGGAUUGUAAACCUCUUUUGUCGGGGAGCAACGAGGCCACGUGUGGCCGAAGUGAGAGUACCCGAAGAAAAAGCAUCGGCUAACUACGUGCCAGCAGCCGCGGUAAUACGUAGGUGGCAAGCGUUAUCCGGAUUUACUGGGUGUAAAGGGCGUGUAGGCGGGACUGCAAGUCAGAUGUGAAAACCAUGGGCUCAACCUGUGGCCUGCAUUUGAAACUGUAGUUCUUGAGUACUGGAGAGGCAGACGGAAUUCCUAGUGUAGCGGUGAAAUGCGUAGAUAUUAGGAGGAACACCAGUGGCGAAGGCGGUCUGCUGGACAGCAACUGACGCUGAGGCGCGAAAGCGUGGGGAGCAAACAGGAUUAGAUGCCCGCGUAGAU
RNAcentral lists this ribosomal RNA (470 nucleotides) under uncultured bacterium. RNAcentral describes it as "bacterial SSU rRNA". It matches the Rfam family "Bacterial small subunit ribosomal RNA", at positions 328 to 795 of the family's 1533-position model. The record is from RNAcentral.